RNAcentral lists this microRNA precursor (87 nucleotides) under Pelobates cultripes (western spadefoot toad). The record is from RNAcentral. Lineage: Eukaryota; Metazoa; Chordata; Amphibia; Anura; Pelobatidae.
AAAAUACAAGAUACACCUAGAAAAACAGAGGCAAAGAAAAAUUCAUAGGGAAUUUUUCUUUGCCUCUGUUUUUCUAGGUGUAUCUUG